Molecule: ribosomal RNA, 530 nt
Filed under: Pristimantis koehleri
Lineage: Eukaryota; Metazoa; Chordata; Amphibia; Anura; Strabomantidae
Description: partial 16S ribosomal RNA
Source: RNAcentral
UCUCAAGAAAAGAAUAUUAGUUCCGCCUAAAGCAAUAAAAAUAUAAGUAUAUUAAUCUCACCCUUUAGAGUAACUCAAAUAAGGUACAGCCUAUUUGACACAGGAUCCAACCUUCAUUUCCGGGUAAUACAACAACCUUUACACCUAAGUAGGCCUAAUAGCAGCCACCUUUCAAAUAGCGUCAAAGCUUACCCGUAUUUAAUCUAAUUCAUCUAUUUUCAUAAACCCCUAUAAUUGUACUGAGAAAUUCUAUACUUCUAUAGAAGAUAUUAUGCUAAAACUAGUAACAAGAGAAUCAACCUCUCUCUAUGCAAAUAUAAGCCAAGAAGAACUCGUCAUUGGCAAUCAACAGAAAAAAGUAAUAACUCCUCAAGAAAACCUUACUUCAACAACUGUUAACCUGACACCAGAGCAUUUCAAGAAAGAUUAAAAGAAAAAGAAGGAACUCGGCAAAUAAAAAUUCCGCCUGUUUACCAAAAACAUCGCCUCUUGCCCCUAUAAGAGGUCCAGCCUGCCCAGUGACCUAGUUC